Molecule: RNase P RNA, 392 nt
Filed under: Vampirovibrio sp.
Lineage: Bacteria; Bacillati; Candidatus Melainabacteria; Vampirovibriophyceae; Vampirovibrionales; Vampirovibrionaceae
Description: RNase P RNA component class A
Rfam family: Bacterial RNase P class A
About the family: Ribonuclease P (RNase P) is a ubiquitous endoribonuclease, found in archaea, bacteria and eukarya as well as chloroplasts and mitochondria. Its best characterised activity is the generation of mature 5'-ends of tRNAs by cleaving the 5'-leader elements of precursor-tRNAs.
Source: RNAcentral
AGAGUUUGCUAGAUAGUCGCAGGCAAGGGCUUGAAAAAGUUGUUGUUUGAGGAAAGUCUGGGCUUCACAGGGCAAGAUACGAGCUAACCACUCGUGCGGGCGACCGUGAGGAGAGUGCCACAGAAAUGUAAACUGCCGAUGGUUUUUUCUUCACGGAAAAAACACAGGCGAUGGUGCAACGGUGAGGUAAAAGCUCACCAGCAAGGUGGAAACGCCUUGGCUAGGUAAACCCUAUCUGAAGCAAGGCUAAGGAAUGCGUGGGCGGUCCCGUCCCAUUUUCUACCCCGCUAUAUAUUACGAGCGUGUGUUGUGAAACCACGCCAAGACAGAUGGCUAUCGUUUUACGCCGUUGGCGUAGAAUAACAGAACCCAGCUUAUGGCGAACUCUGCUU